UACGGGGGGGGCAAGCGUUGUUCGGAAUUACUGGGCGUAAAGGGCGCGUAGGCGGUUCGCUAAGUUGAAUGUGAAAACUCUGGGCUUAACCCAGAGCCUGCAUUCAAUACUGGCGGGCUAGGGUUCUGGAGGGGAUAGCGGAAUUCCUGGUGUAGCGGUGAAAUGCGUAGAUAUCAGGAGGAACACCGGUGGCGAAGGCGGCUAUCUGGACAGAGUCUGACGCUGAGGCGCGAAAGCUAGGGGAGCAAACAGG
RNAcentral lists this ribosomal RNA (253 nucleotides) under uncultured bacterium. RNAcentral describes it as "partial 16S ribosomal RNA". It matches the Rfam family "Bacterial small subunit ribosomal RNA", at positions 524 to 776 of the family's 1533-position model. The record is from RNAcentral.